GGCGCUAACAUCUCCGGCGGUCACGUCAAUCCCGCCGUCACUUUCGGCGCUUUCGUCGGCGGGAACAUCAGUCUUUUACGCGGCAUCGUCUAUUGGAUCGCUCAACUACUUGGCUCAACCGUCGCUUGCCUCUUGCUCAAGUUCGCUACUAGUGACAUGGUAAACACACACCACUGGUCAAACAAAACAUAUAUAAACUUUUUUACAUUUAAUUUUAGGAUUAAUUUUAGAACCUUGAGUUAAAUUUUAAAUUAAUCUCAAGAUUUUAAAACGUUUCAAUUAAGUCCUUAAAUUAACACUUACUAAUAAUUUAGUGAUCAAAUUUUAAUAAUCUAACUAUCUGUUUAAAUGUAAUUUUAACUCAUACAUAGCAUACAACAUAUUUAAAACAUGUAAUUUAUUUAGUAAGUACAUAAAGUUGAUGUUAAGAUGCACGAAUCAGGGCUUUAUCUCCAGUGGCGUAUCUAGGGCCUGGUAAGGCCCGGCCUCCCCUAAAAAAAAAUUUAUUUAUUUAAUUUUUUUUAAAUUUUAAAAUUUCAAAUUAGUAAAAGUAAAAUUAUACUUUUUCCCUUUAAAAUGAUAAAUUUUUUAUUUAAUCUUUUAAAAAUUAUAAAAAUUUAGGAGAUUAAAAGUUAUAAUUUAAUUUUGGCCCCUAAAAAAUUUUUAAUUUCACUCCUAUUUAUCUCCUUACUUAUAAGUUAACAUUAAAAAAAUAAUUAGAAUAUUUUAAAUUUUAAGUAUUAAUUUAAAUGGUUAAUUUUUAAAAAUGCCCUGUAAUUAAUUACCAUAUUAAAAAAUUAAAAAUUAUUACCAAUAUAUCAAAAAAAUAAAAUUAUUUACUUUUUAAUAAAAAUAUUAAUUUACGGACCCGUAAGCUAGUUUAUUCCUUCAACGUUUCCGCCCUAAAUACCAAUUUUGAAAAUCAGUUAUUUCCGUUAUUUUUAAUAGCGCUAAUAUAAGGUUUUGUUACGGUACUUCACAGACCGUACCGGCUUUCGGACUUUCAUCGGGAGUAGGUGUGUGGAACGCCGUCGUUUUUGAGAUCGUGAUGACUUUCGGAUUGGUCUACACGGUUUACGCCACGGCCAUCGAUCCUAAAAAGGGAGACCUAGGAG
RNAcentral lists this long non-coding RNA (1115 nucleotides) under Gossypium barbadense (sea-island cotton). RNAcentral's name for it is "long non-coding RNA (GBAR_LNC011051)". Lineage: Eukaryota; Viridiplantae; Streptophyta; Magnoliopsida; Malvales; Malvaceae. The record is from RNAcentral.